RNAcentral lists this long non-coding RNA (10940 nucleotides) under Jatropha curcas. Its description in RNAcentral is "long non-coding RNA (JCUR_LNC002358)". The record is from RNAcentral. Lineage: Eukaryota; Viridiplantae; Streptophyta; Magnoliopsida; Malpighiales; Euphorbiaceae.
UUUUUUUUCCUCAAUUGAUUUACACCAAGUAGUAAGGCGAAAUUACCUUUAUAGGCUCAAGGACAUUUGGUUCAGUUCAAGGUGGAGCAAACGAGGUACUAAGGCAGGAUCGCCUUCCUCCAAAUCACCCAUUAAGUCGAUAAAGUUUUGACCUUAAGGCUACCCUUUUCCGAUGGGAAGAUAGGGUUUUCUACUUGGUCUUUCAUUCAUCAGCUUCGCCCUAGUGCACAUCUUCGACGUGAGGGUAUAAGUCGAAUCGCCUAUGAAGAAUGUAUACAGUGGUGGGGUCUUGAUAACGCCUUCUCUUUCAAUGAUUAUCUAUAAAGUUAGAGCUGGAACAAUAGGAGCUACUAGCACGACAAUAGCUGCCUGUCUAAAGAGAAGUGCCGACUAGUGCAAAAAGGCAUCCUAACUGGGUUGCUCAGGACCAACUGGACCCUGAUCUGCAGCACCGGUUGGAGCAACAAGAGGGGCAAAAUUCUCCACCUACUCAUCCACAACAUGUGCAGAGCGAGAAACAGAAAAGUUAGACUAAAGAUGUAAACGCUACUGACUGGAGUAUCGACUUUAUGAUCCUAAAAAUCUAUUGUGGUGCAAAACCUGCUACUAACAACCUGCGCAUGACAAGUCAACGUGAUAAGCAUAAAGCUUGGUGGUGCUUCAUAUCCCAAAAAUCGAUAUAUUCACCAAGCAUACUCAAAUAACACAAUAAGCAUAUACAUUGCACUAUAAUUCAAUUUAAGCAUCAUUCCACAUUUAAUUGUUAACAUCAUUAUCAAUUCAUAUUAUCCAACCAGAAUAUUCCAUCAUAAGUAUUAAAGCAUCUAAUCAUCAUUUAUGCAUUAUUCACAUUUAUAUCAAGCAUAAGAAAUCAUUUCCAGCGUGUAUUAAUCAUAAUCGUACUUAUUUCCAAGAUUCAUAAUAUUUAAUUAUAAUUCAAAUAUAAAUCAUACUUAGCAAUAUUUAAUCAUUUUUAAUUACUUCUAAACAUUAUUUAAUUUUUAGGCCUUAAACAUAGUUAUAAGGAUCAAAAAGUAGAUAGAGGAAUAUAAAUUUAUAACAUAAUCAUAUGGUCUGAAGACCAGCUCAAAAGCCUAAAUAUGUCAUAGAAGCUCAUAAACUCAAUAUAACAUAAGACACCAAAAUCCACAAUCACAUUCGGAGGAUGUACAUACAUAACGUAUUAAUAUUGUAGAACAUAUAUGACAUAUCAAUAACCGUAUAUAGCUAAUGACAUCGAUCAAGAAUACUAAAUGCUAUAAAAAUGCUCCAUUAUUUAAUACUUAUCAUGGAUUAUUUAAUUUUCUAUAAUAAAAUCAUUUAAGAUUCCAUGAAAUCAUAUUUCAAGAUAUUUUUCAAAAAAUUCAUAUACUUGUCAAAUUAUUUUCAAUCCAUUUCACAUAAUUUCACACAUUUUAUUCAAUUUUCAUAAAUAAGCAUAAUUAAUCACAUAUCAUAAUUAUUCAUCAUAAUAAAUAGGAAAAAUUACAUUACAAUCGAUGUGGUUUGCGAAAUACGACUAUUUCGUCCCUAUAUUUUUUAAAAUAUACAAAUUUAUUCCUAUGUUUUGUUUCCGUUAUACUACUAGGUCCUUUUGUCCAUUUUGUACAUCUUUUCCGUCAAGUCAAUAAGAAAAUAUAGAGGUUAAAAGAGAGAUACUAAAACAUUAUAACAAAAAAAAUUACAGUACAGUCCUAUAGUUUGAGAAAAGCCAACUAAUCUGUCCUUAUGUUUUUAAAAGUAAAAGAGAUAUUUUCAUCAUUUCAUAAUGCACUUAAUGGGAAAAAUGCAAAUUUUAGACAUAAAGAUUUUAUAGUAUGACGAAAGUAAACUAUAAAAAUGUUUUAGUCUAUUUUUAAAAAGAUAGAGAUGGACUAGUUAUAUUUCACAAUCCACAGGGAUCCUACUAUACUUUUCCCUAAUAAAUAUCAUUCCAUAAUUAAUAAUUCAUUUAAUCAUAAUUCAAGCCACUUCUCGUAAUCACACAUAAUAAUUAUUAAUUCACAAAUAGACACUCAUAAAUUUUUCUCUAUCAUAAUUAAUACCAUAAAUCAUCAUUUUUACACAAUUUAGGGCAUAAAUACUUAAUUCACAUUCAUAGCUAAUAUGCCACAUCUAUUUAUAAAAUACUAUUUUUAAUUCAAAAAUUUAAAUAGUAAUUCAAUUUACCGCAUAAUAAUUCAAAAUAUCAUAAUCAACAUAAUUAAUAUAGUUAUUGCUUAAUUUGACUCAAAUCAGUCAAAUUAAAUGCUAACAUCUAAAGAAUUGAUUAUCUACAAUUUAGUCCUCCAAUUAACUUAAUAUACCUAUUUUAACUACUUUAACUUAUUAAUUUCAUAAUUAAUUAAAUUAAGCAUCUAAUCAAACAUAAAUAUUUCAAUUAAGUACCUAAUUGAAUUAAAUUUUGCAUUUAAGUCAAAUAUUCAUUUAAGUCCAAAAGCCCAAUGGCCCUCCAAUUAGUCCUUAGGUUCUUGGAAAAUAUCCCUUUUCGUCCUUAUCGUUAGUAAUUGUCCAAAUGUCCAAUUAGGUCCUUAUUUAAGUUUAAUUUUGCAAAGGUAUCUAAAUUUACAUCUAAGUCCUAAAGUCCUUGAAUUUAAUUUUAAUUUAGGUCCUUUAGUCCUUCAUAAACUUCUUUUGAGUCCUUUAAUUAAUUAAAUUGUCCAAUUAGGUCCUCAUAGUGUUCGGCCUCUUUAGGAAUUCUUUCAAUUAAGUCCAAAAUUCCAUUUUUAAUCACAUUAAACGCCUUAAGUCAUCCAUAAACAAGAUUAAACACUUAAAUCCUUCACAUAAUCAACAAAAAUCAUAGAACCCCUUCAAGGAGGUUCGACAAACGUAUAGAAAUACGUAAUCAAGCUUUUUACUUUAAAUCAAAGGUACAUAACAUAAUGUCAUCACAUGAAUCAACAUAAUAAAGCAUUAAAGCAUGGAAAACAAACAUAAAAAUGAAGAAUUUCCUCCCAUGGAGAUUCAACCAACAUAAGAUUUGCAUACCAAGAGCAUUUAAUUUUUGACAAAGGCAAAAUCACAUAUUUACCAUAUAAUUAAAUACAUUCAAAUACUCAAUUUCAUCAAAAUCCAUCAUUUACACACAUUAAUUGAAAAAUCAUACGAAAAUCCUAAAACACCAAAUUUCGAAAGAAUGACAUAGAAUGCACUAACCUUAAAUUAGUGUUUAAAACCUCAUAAUCACCUUCAAAGGCUCUUUUCCCUUAGCUUUGGAGGUAGAACCAUCUAAAAAGAAAAUAAAUCCAAAAAAAAAUGAAUAGACUACAUAAAAACGAGACCUUAAUGUAUUAAUGACAUGAGAAAAUGCAUGAGAAUAUAUUUCUAGCCUUAGAUUGAAAAACCUUUAUUUUCUUCGAUGAGAGAGAAAGAGGUAGAAUGGAAAAUGUGAAAGAAAGCUUACAAAAAACACUAGAUAUCUGAGUUUAGGUGUAGGAAUUCAUCUGUUUAGCUUAGGAAUUCAUAGAGUCUUGCUUCAAUUUGUGCAAAAAUGAAGAUUUGUGAAGUGAGAAGAAGAAAGAGAGAGAGAGAGAGACAGAGAGAGACAGAGAGAGAGAGAAGCGGCAUGGCUAGGUUUUGGGAAGGAGGAAGAAGAAGUUGCAACAUGUUAAUUUUGGUUUUAGAUGAGUUUUAGGGUCAUUUGCUCUGUUCUCAAAAUGGAUAGUGAAAAUUAGAACAUGAAAUCUCAUCCAAUAGCCAAUAUUGAUUCAUUAAUGCAAAAUGGUAAAUUGUGUUUAUAUAAAGACAUUUAACAAAACAAAGUCAAUAAACUCUUUAGAAUAGGUGGCUAGAAUUAAACACUACUCUAACUCUUGCUACACUUAAUCAAAACUCUAUAAUUUCCAUAUGUCAUGCCAAAUCUCUACACAGGAGAAAAUACUAAAAUACCCCUAUGACAUAAUAAUCAAAUAUUGUAUAAAUUAAAUAAAUUAUUACUAAACACAUAAAUUCUAAAACACAUAUAAUAACAUAAUUAUGAAUUAUUUCAUCACCGGAUUAAUUUAAAGUACCAAACCCUCUCAGCAACCCAUAUUUGUAAUUAAGGAAGAUCCUGAGGAUUACUUAGAGACCUCUCUCUUUGAGCAAGUCUUUUUGUUAGAGAAGGAUGAUGUGAAGACUUAACUCACCACCCUAGUUCAACCCGCCCAUGGACCGUUGAAUAAUUGGAGCUAUGAUGGUGCAUAUCUUAUUGUUGAGAUGGUUUCCCAGUCUGAGUCUGAGUAUAGUAAUAGCAUUGGGUCUUCUAGUGAGUCUUCUGUUUCGAACCUUGAAGGUCCAUGUUUUAAUUGUAAUGUAACUUUGGACCUUAGUGGUCUAACUUUUAAUAAGAAUUUUUAGUUUUUUGAUUACUUGUCCUCAUCUCCUUUUUCAUCUUCAUAUUCAUUUGAUUCAAUAAAAAAUGAUACAUUACAUGAAAUAAUAAAAACUGAAAAUGAAAAAGAACAUGUAAAUAUUGGCCAGGAAAAAUAUCCUAAGCAAACCUUCAUUAACCCAGGGUAUUGAUAUAGAUUGGUUUUCAUGGAAGACUGAAGACAUGGAAGGAAUAGAUCCAAAAAUAGCAUCUCACAAAAUCCCAACCUAUGAGCAUGUCAAACCGGUUAAACAUAAAUUAAGGAGAUUGAAGUCGGAGUGGUCUUUGAAGAUCAAGGAAAAAGUCACCAAGCAACUGAAUAACACGUUUAUUGAGCUAAUCGCAUAACCUAAAUGGUUAGCCAACAUAAUACUGGUUCCCAAGAAGGACGAAAAGUUUCCUCUACGAUACAUUGACUUGCCAGUUGACUGCAUGGCUAGUUAUAAAGUAAUCUCCUAAAUUGAUUAUGGUACUUCCACCAGACAAAGAGAAGACAACGUUCAUUGCAGAAUGGGGUGAUCUAAUCUUAUUUGUACUUUCAUUUUAGUUUAGUUUUUGUUCUCUUUAAUGUUGAAUUUAUUUUAUUGCUUCUUUCAUGGCUUUAUGUUGUUGUUUUAUUAUAAAUGCCAUUUUUCUUCAUCUUAAGUUUAUUUUUCAGGAACAUUAUUAAUCAAGGCCAAAUAAUUGAUCAUUUUAAUCGAAAACCUAGUUACUGAAUCGUCACAAUCCAAAACCAUUGGUCAGACCGGCACUGGGGCCUAAGUUAGCUUAAAGCCGUUGAAGCCCGUAAUAAGCCUAAUAUAUGAAAACCCAUUUCUUUUAAAAGCUGACUCUACAAACAAUAAGCCCAUAUUUCGACGUUAUGUAAUUAAUUUGUCAAAUUAUAUAUCUGGCCCGGCUUCAAUAUCUCAUAUAGUUCAUAGUUCAAGCUUGUAUAUAUAUCGUAUAAUUCACGUCAUUCAUAAUAUGGGCAAAUUGGUCCAUUCAUAACAUUUAAAGAGGCAAAUAAAAUAUAAUCUACAGGUUUACUAACCAGCACACUAUUAAUUCUUACAUAAUAAGAUGUAAAACAAAACAUCGUAACUGCAGAACCCAAUAAAUGGAUGCAGAUUGUUCAUACACACAAUACUAUAUAUAUUAACAUUAUCAAAAAUUGAAAAUUACUAUUGAGUCUCUGCGAAGAAAGAUGCAGAGCUUAUCUGGAUCAACAAAAUGUCUACCUCUUGGAAAAAAAUUUAAAGGAAAAGGGUGAGUUUCACAAACUCAAUAAAUAAUAAUAAAUAAUACAUAAUCCAAAAAAUCACAUAAAAUAUUUUCCAAAUUUGUAUAAUUAAUAUACAAUUAAUCAAGCAUAUGUCCAGCAUCAGCACCUUCAAUAAUAUCAACUUUAAGUAAUCACAUCAAAUGGAGAUUGGUCAGAGGCGUCACAAAACCCCCGAUAAGACAUCCCCGCACAUGGCCUGUCCUCUCAUACGUAUGCACUAGGGAGCCGAUCCCAUACAUGGUCAACCAGUCUGAUCCUCACUUGACCAGUUGUCACAACCUGUUUCCAUGAGCCGGACCGGCACUAGGACCCAAGUAAGCUUAAGGCUCCCGAGGCCCGUAGUAAGCCUAAACACUAAAAUCUACUAUCUCAAUAUAAAUUUCAAACAUUCAACCCAUAUUACUAGAAAAAAAUAAACCUCAAGAUUUUAUUACCAAAUUUAUCAUCUUCAACAUUUCACAGUUCAAGCUCAAUUUACAAUACAUCACAUUUCUAAUAUGGGCUCACAGAAUUAUUUCAUCUAUAUUAAUACACGACUAAAUGUAUGUAAAUCCAACAACUGCAGAGUCACUAACUGUUAGAUAUACAUAGAUUGUUAUACAUAUAGUUACAUAGCAAAAUAAUUAUUGAACUAGGAAAAUUUCUUUCUAGUCCUGCGGCGAAGAAACAUAGCUUAAACCGAAUUUAAGAGAAACUUACUUCCUGAAAAAUUAAACAAGACAUGUGAGUUUUCUAAGGAGUAAUAAUUAUUGCACAACACACGCAUUCACACAAAUGUGUAAANNNNNNNNNNNNNNNNNNNNNNNNNNNNNNNNNNNNNNNNNNNNNNNNNNNNNNNNNNNNNNNNNNNNNNNNNNNNNNNNNNNNNNNNNNNNNNNNNNAAUCACAUCACGUGGAAAUUGGUUUGUGGUGUCACCGACGCCCCCAAUGAGUCGUUCUCACACAUGGUCCACCCUCUCAUAACGUGUGCACCAAGGAGCCAAUCCCCCAUACAUGGCCGACCGGUCUAAUCCUCACUUGACCAGCCCUCUCAUUGUUUUUCCAUUCUCUCUUUUCUUUUCCAUACCACCAGGAGGCCACCCUGUGGUUUAUUCAUAUUAUCCAUAUCAUAUCAUCAAGUGCACACGGGGUGCCGAUCUCCCAUAUGGCCAACGGUCUCGUAGACCGCCCUCACAAACCCAUGGUAACCCAUUUCAUUCCAACUCCACACAUACAAGGCAUAACAUUAUCAUAACACAAUUAAUCAAGUAUUGCAAUUAAAUGCAAGCAUAGCAAACAAUUAAUUAACAUGAUGCAAAUACACAAGUAGACAUUCAUAGUUAAUUAUAAUUAAAUAGAGAAAUAGUAAUCAACANNNNNNNNNNNNNNNNNNNNNNNNNNNNNNNNNNNNNNNNNNNNNNNNNNNNNNNNNNNNNNNNNNNNNNNNNNNNNNNNNNNNNNNNNNNNNNNNNNNNNNNAAUAAUUAGAAAACUUUAUUUAUUAUGUAUUAAGUUAAAGAAUUAAUCUAAUAAACCAAUUAAUUUAAUUAUUGAUUAAGACUAACCUAGGUUCUAUCGAAAUUUCGGCGGAAUCUCCCCUAGAAUUUGAUCAAACCAUAAUUCAAUAACAAAUUUUCAAAGCCCAUCCAUCGGGCAAUUCACAUCAACUCAUCCCAUCCGCCAUAACCAUAAUCAUUCAUUCAAUCUUCUUACUCAAUUCACACAGCCCAUGCAUCGGGCAGUCAAUCCAAAUAACCCAUCCUCUUUAGUCUACAUACGUCAUCCAUCACACACACGCGUAUUCAAUUAACAGCUCCAAACCAAUAAUCAAUAAGUUAUAUUAGCCUUUGAGCAUAUUUCAAUGAUAUUAUUAAGUGUUCUAUACCUAGUUACCAAAGAACUAAACAUUUUAUAAUAAAACUUGAUUCGCCAAGUUAAAUACAGGGACUCUCAUUUGAUAGUUUCUAUAUUAUACUUACUCGUCUAAGCCUUAGAUUUUAAUUUACCCCUAACAAUAAUUUUAUCAAAUUCCUAAGUCAACCACCAUAAUUAUUAACUAAUAUUAAAUUUUCUAAUUAUAACUAAUAUUCAUGAAAUGUAUUUAGUAAUAUUCAAAAUUGAUUGCUUCUAACAAUAUGCCCCAAACUAAUUCUUAACAAGAAUUAUAUCAAACUAAUUAUUUUUUAGAAUUCAAUUUAUUCAACUAUAAAUUUUAGAUUUGGAAUUUAUAUUGAAAAUGAGAGAAUAGGUCUUAGGACAUACCGACUGAGAAUCGGACUACAAUUCCACGAUUCGCGCAAAAAGGAGAUCAUUCUGUCUCUUGGGGGCCUCGCCGGAGUGUCGCCGGCCGAUCACCGGACCGCCGCCGCCGGCCGCCGUGCACGAUGACCGGAAAAUUCCAAACAACCCAGAAAUUUGCAUGAAUUCCACCACCCGGCUCGAAAUUUCAUGGGGAACUCAAAUUAUGCAUCCAUUUGUCAAGUCAGUGGCCCAUUUGGCAGGAGAGAGCCUCGAUAGCCAGCAAAGAAGCCACCGAUCAUGGUGGUUCCACCAUUCUCUGUCGGAAACACGAUUUAAUAGAGGGAAAAUGUUUGCGUGGCCACCAGGAAGCGAUUUCACCCAUUCUCAGUGUGCAUAGUGGUCGAAAACAGUGGAUUUUUGCUUGAGAUCGAAGAGCCGGAGCUAUUGAAGGAGACGGCUCCAAUUUGCAUCACUGGAGGUCCGAUCAGAGCGAGGGAAAGCUGGAAAAUGGACCAGCGACUCCAAGGAAGUCGAUCGCCACCUCCCUUGCAUCGGAUGGUGGUAGAAAACGGGCUGAGGGAGGAGGAGCGGUGUUGCCCUUUGUGUGCGUGCAGAAGAAGAAGAAGAAAGGAGAAAGAAAGAAAGAAAGUAGGUCGGUUUCUAGAUCAUUCUGGUUUGAUUCGAACCGAUUUGGUCUGAUUCAAUGAUCUGACUCGAUUUUGCUUAGUUUACGGGCUUUUCACUUGGUUUUCGAAAGUUUCAAACGGGUUCAAGGGUCCAGUUAAUUUAUUUUAUUUGAUUUAGUACUUAACGUCCAAUAUAGUUCUUAAAAAGUUAGAAAAUUUUCGGUUAGGAGUUGCGAUACCAUUCUUUGGGCUUGGGCCUAACUUGCAAAUUGGAUGCAGACAAGAUUGUGCAGUAUCUGCGACCCACACAGUUCAAAAAAAUUCCAAUUUUUGAUUUAAUAAAAAUUCAAAAGUUUCGUAAAUAAAAAUUCAAGAUAUAUCACCAGUCCUCUCAUUGUUUUUCCAUUCUCUCUUUUCUUUUCAUUACCAACAAAAGCACACCAUAUGGUUUUAUCAUAUUAUCCAUAUCAUAUUUCACCAGAUGCACAUGGGGCAUCGAUCUCCCAUACAUGGCUAAUGAUCCCGGACCGUCUUCACAAUCUCAUAGUGGCCCACUUCAUCCCAAUUCCACCCAGAAAUAAGCAUCAUUAUCACAUCAAGUAAACCAAACACUUCAUUCAAUAUAAUAAUCAUAUCGAUAAUUAAUAUGCAGCUCAUGAGUGUAAUCAUGGGUAUAGAAUUAUAUAACAUUUGUACAGUUGUAAAAUUAUACUUAUAUUUCAAUAAUAUUAUAAUAAUAUAUGAAAAUAAUAGCUGAGUAUUGAUUGUAUUUAGAUAGUAUAGGGUGAAUGAUGCAUGUAUACAGAUAAUGAUAUGCACCAUUUAUUAUUAUUCAUAGUGAUAGAAGAGAAAUAUGCUUUAAUUUAGAUUUUGAUUUGUAGGAGCAGUACACGAACUCGAUCGAUCAAGAUAAGACAUAUAUAUAAAGGAAUAUAACAUUAGACAAAUGAAUUUUUCUUAAAUAAUAAAUUUAAUAUAUAUUUACUUAAAAUGGGACUUUCCACUUGCUUCAAUAUUAACAAUCUAAUAUACUUAUUAGAAACUGCUGACACAGCCCAUCUAUCGAGUAAUCUAUCAAUUCAAAUAUCCAAUCGCUAUAAAUAACAACUUAUAUUCAAUUCACAGCUUAUAAAUUAAAAUGAAUCUUCGUUCUGAUCCUUGUACAUCCUUAUAUAUUAUUUUAGGUCAGUCUCUUAAAAUCAAUAAUUUCAAUUAACUUAUUGUAUCUUUCAAAAUAACCUAAUUUACCAUCACUUCAAUUCAUAUAAUAUAAUCUUAAUCUCAAAAUAAUUUCUACCUUUCCAUCAAUGGAUUUCCUUUUACUUAAUUUUUUUUAAUUAAUUUACUUCCUCAUUUGGUCCUUAAUUCUCAAUAGUCAUAAAAAAAUAUUUUUAUAUUUUUAUUUAUGAAUUUACCUCAAUCAAGAUUAUAAUUUCUUAAUUACAUAUAUUCCUUUCCUAUUUUUAUAGUCCAAUCUUAAUUUUUAAUUCAAAUCAAAUCACACCUUCAAAUCCUCCUUCUAUAGUUUAGUACAUAGCAUACAUCUAAUCAAAUCUACUUUAAAUCCAUAAUAUAUUUUCCAUCGAGAAUUAUUAUCAAAAUUCCUUACUUACCAAUUAAAAUAAGCUUUAAUUAAUUAAGGUCUUCUAAUCAAACACUAGUGAAAUAUAUUGUAAAAUACCCAAUAUUAGGUUAACUAGCCACAAAAUGCUAGGAAUUGAUUAAAUUUUCUGAAAAAUAACCGGAAAUAGUCCUAAUACCCAGAACACGUUGCCGGAAAAUGCUUCACUGGAGACGACUGCUUUGCUCGCGGGAGAGACAACCGGAGGUGGCUAGCGCACUGACAGUGGCAGGGAAGGAACCAGAUCGACUUGCCUUCAACCACUCUCGCCGGAACGAAGAGAGAGAGAGAGGAGGUAGUCGCUAAAGUCGACCGAAACAGGAGCCGCUGCUUGUCUGAGCUACUAUGAUCACUGGAGCUAUGAGCAGGAGGGACGCGACUUCGAACGAUGGUGGUCGACGGUUGACAUCGCAGAGAGCGGCGAUCGAAACUGAGAUUACAGGUGGGGCGUGAUCGAACUGAGAGAGGAAGAAAGCGGUUGGUGGCGCGAUGGAGGCUCGUCGAGCGUAUCUCAGAUGGCCGGAGACCGAGAGAGAGAGAGAGAGAGAGAGAGAGAGAGAGAGAGCGAGCUGGAGCUACGCUGGGUGAGGGAGAAGAAAGGAGAAGAAGAAACAAGGAAAAAGAAAGAAAUCUAGAGUUUCUAGAGCUUUCUAGGCCAUUCUGGUUUCAUUCGAACCAGUUUGAUUCAAUUCAAUGAUUUAGUUUGGUUUUGCUUGGUUUAUAUAUUUUCACUUGAUUUUCAGAUAAUUCAAACUGAUUUAUGGGUCCGAUUUAACAAUAAUAAGAUAUUUUAUUGUGUAAUUUCUUUGGUUAAAAUUUCAAUUAAAUUUUUAAAUGAAAAUUUUCUGAAAUUGAA